RNAcentral lists this ribosomal RNA (468 nucleotides) under uncultured bacterium. Its description in RNAcentral is "partial 16S ribosomal RNA". It matches the Rfam family "Bacterial small subunit ribosomal RNA", at positions 28 to 507 of the family's 1533-position model. The record is from RNAcentral.
GACGAACGCUGGCGGCGUGCUUAACACAUGCAAGUCGAACGGAAAGGCCCUGCUUUUGUGGGGUGCUCGAGUGGCGAACGGGUGAGUAACACGUGAGUAACCUGCCCUUGACUUUGGGAUAACUUCAGGAAACUGGGGCUAAUACCGGAUAGGAGCUCCUGCUGCAUGGUGGGGGUUGGAAAGUUUCGGCGGUUGGGGAUGGACUCGCGGCUUAUCAGCUUGUUGGUGGGGUAGUGGCUUACCAAGGCUUUGACGGGUAGCCGGCCUGAGAGGGUGACCGGCCACAUUGGGACUGAGAUACGGCCCAGACUCCUACGGGAGGCAGCAGUGGGGAAUAUUGCACAAUGGGCGGAAGCCUGAUGCAGCAACGCCGCGGGCGGGAUGACGGCCUUCGGGUUGUAACCCGCUUUCGCCUGUGACGAAGCGUGAGUGACGGUAAUGGGUAAAGAAGCACCGGCUAACUACGUG